AAUAGGAAAGAGUUGUGUAUAUCCCAUUGGCAUACGUGGGCAAGGGGCGGGGUCUAUUUUCCGUGUCAUGGCUCCUCCCUGUAGACUUCAAGAAGUUCCAUAUCCGGAAGUGGGCUCCGUAGACUUUCGUUUGACUGUCGACACCUUUCUCGGGACUAGGUUCGGCAUACACUGCUGGCUGUACCUAUUGUUGUCAUUACUACCAUGUGGGACACAGUAAGAUGCGUAAGAUGCCUUGUGAAUCUAAGGUAAUUAUUGUAUUGAAAUUGACACGACAUAUAUACCAGUAUAUGUGAAUAGUCUGGUACUAUAUGUUUGUAGUUCAUAUGUGUAGGUCCAAACUCCAUGACAGCUGAUGAGGUAUUGAAGGCACAACUGUAAUAUUUCAAAGCAAUUGAGGUUCAAGUAAUAUGUAAUGUAGUAAUGUAGGGAAGUGUGAAGGCAUAUUUGGCAUUAAUUUAUAGGCAGGUGUUUAAAUGGAACAGAGAAAGUAACCAUUGAAUUGCAUUGUAGGACAUUCCUAAAUAUCAAUCAUAACCGAAUCGUUGCUGAAGAAAUCGUUUUUCAAAUCAAAUCGGCAUGAAUGCUCUGAUUUAUACCCCUAGUCAUGACUAGAAGAAAAUAAAGACAAAAACACAUUGACAAUUUGUCAACGGUUUAUUCUCCCUGUUUGACAUGUUCAUGCUGUGUCUUGAGGUUUUUUUUGUGUUUGUUUUUUUUGUUUUGUUUGUUUUUUGCUAUUGGUGGGGACUGCUAUUGAGGAGGCUGCCGUGGCUGGAGGAUGCUGUCGAAGGUGUAGGAGACUGCCGUGGCUGGAGGAGGCUGCCGAAGGUGGAGGAUGCUGCCGUGGCUGGAGGUGGAGGUGGAGGAGGCUGCCGAAGGAAGAAGCUUCCGUAGGUGGAGGAGGCUGCCGUGGCUGGAGGAGGAGGAGGCUGCCGAGGCUGGAGGAGGCUGCUGUAGCUGGUGGAGGCUGGAGGAGGAGGAGGCUGCCGUAGGUGGAGGAGGAGAAGGAGGCUGCCGUAGGUGUAGCUGGAGGAGGCUGCCGUAGCUGGAGGAGGCCGUGGCUGGAGGAGGCUGGAGGCUGCCGAAGGUGGAGGAGGCUGGAGGAGGCUGCCGAAGGUGGAGGAGGCUGCCGAAGGUGGAGAAGGCUGCUGAAGGAAGAGGCUUCUGUAGGUGGAGGAGGCUGCUGAAGGUGUAGGCAGAGACUUCUUCGCUUGGCUUUUGCUGCCCAGCUGUGUCAUAUUCACUCAUCAUUGACUGAUGACCCCUGAACAGAUUUCCGGCCCUUCUUCAUACACCUUGUCUUCCACCUUCACAGUCAUGGCACAACACUCAGGAGUGCUGUGAGUUGCAUGACACCUGCAGAGGCUCCAUACUACAGACUACUUCUACUCGGUACUACAGAAACCGAUCACUUGACAAGCCUGUGUCCUGUUUUGGCCUUCCACACUCUGUAGGAUUGCAUAGGCUCCAUUUCUUCUCCCACAUCACCAUUCCAAAACAACUCCAGAUGUUUCGUUUGUAUUAUGGCCAGUGUCUUUACAUCUGUUACACUACCUGUGUUUUGCACCCAAAACUGGACUGCUCUAUCUGUUUCUUGUUUUUUAUCAUUAUCACUUGCAUUGCUGUAAAUAUGUUCCAUUAGCUCAGUUUUGCAACUAUGAAGUGUACAGUUUUGUUGUUGUAUUACUGUUACGCUGAGCAAAAAGAAACCUCAAACCUUACUCUUAGGCCUAUGUGAAUUCUUCAUGCGUGUCGUGCUCUGUCAACAGUUUGAUGCUUACAAAGCAUUCCAAGUGUCUGUAUGAUGUUCUACCAUUAUGCUAUGCCUUCACACAGUUAAUAACAAAAGGUAUACAGUAUUAAAAAUGCAUAUUCACACUAGGUUAUUGUCUAACUUGGCACCAUAGCAGUGAGCAUCCAGUGUAUAAUUUCUGUGUUCAAAACAUACAUAAAUACAUUUUUUUUUAAAAUUAAUUGACCCACUCAAGUACUGGUUAUACAGUUGUUGUCUUUUUUUAAUUAUAAUUUAUUUAGUCCACAUGACAGAUCCAUGGCCCUGCUCCAUGCCACUGAUUCAGAGUCGUGUGUAGGGACUACACGUCUCUGCCCUGAUCCUCUUCACUCUGCCUGCAUGCAACGAUGCAUGUUUUUGGCAGGUCUGAUGCAGCCUCAUAAAGGCUAAAGCUGGCCUGCGUCUCACUGCUAGAGAUCUA
This is a long non-coding RNA of Engraulis encrasicolus (European anchovy), 2216 nucleotides long. RefSeq lists it as uncharacterized. The transcript is spliced from 4 exons. Lineage: Eukaryota; Metazoa; Chordata; Actinopteri; Clupeiformes; Engraulidae. The record is from RefSeq and is a predicted model, not a curated record.